This 845-nucleotide ribosomal RNA is filed under the name Methanohalophilus sp. T2/21.5. Its description in RNAcentral is "bacterial SSU rRNA". It matches the Rfam family "Archaeal small subunit ribosomal RNA", at positions 5 to 852 of the family's 1478-position model. Lineage: Archaea; Methanobacteriati; Methanobacteriota; Methanomicrobia; Methanosarcinales; Methanosarcinaceae. The record is from RNAcentral.
CGGUUGAUCCUGCCGGAGGUUACUGCUAUCGGUGUUCGACUAAGCCAUGCCAGUUAAAUGUUCUUUGUGAACAUAGCGGACUGCUCAGUAACACGUGGACAAUCUGCCCUUGGGUUCAGCAUAACCCCGGGAAACUGGGGAUAAUUCUGAAUAGAUCACAUAUGCUGGAAUGCCUUGUGAUUUAAAGAUCCGUCGCCCAAGGAUGGGUCUGCGGCCUAUCAGGUUGUAGUGGGUCUAGAGUACCUACUAGCCGACGACGGGUACGGGUUGUGAGAGCAAGAGCCCGGAGAUGGAUUCUGAGACAUUAAUCCAGGCCCUACGGGGCGCAGCAGGCGCGAAACCUUUACACUGCGGGAAACCGCGAUAAGGGGACACCGAGUGCCAGCAUACAAUGCUGGCUGUCCACAUGUGUAAAUAGCAUGUGAUAGCAAGGGCCGGGCAAGACCGGUGCCAGCCGCCGCGGUAACACCGGCGGCCCGAGUGGUAAUCACUAUUAUUGGGUCUAAAGGGUCCGUAGCCGGUUUAAUCAGUCUUCCGGGAAAUCUGACAGCUUAACUGUUAGGCUUCCGGGGGAUACUGUUAGACUUGGGACCGGGAGAGGUAAGAGGUACUACAGGGGUAGGAGUGAAAUCUUGUAAUCCCUGUGGGACCACCAGUGGCGAAGGCGUCUUACCAGAACGGGUCCGACGGUGAGGGACGAAAGCUGGGGGCACGAACCGGAUUAGAUACCCGGGUAGUCCCAGCCGUAAACGAUGCUCGCUAGGUGUCUGGAAUGGUGCGACCGUUUCAGGUGCCGCAGGGAAGCCGUGAAGCGAGCCACCUGGGAAGUACGGCCGCAAGGCUGA